This 827-nucleotide ribosomal RNA is filed under the name uncultured bacterium. RNAcentral describes it as "bacterial SSU rRNA". It matches the Rfam family "Bacterial small subunit ribosomal RNA", at positions 64 to 896 of the family's 1533-position model. The record is from RNAcentral.
GAGCGGGGGUAGCAAUACCCUAGCGGCGAACGGGUGAGGAAUGCUUGGGAAUCUGCCUCGUAGUGGGGGAUAACGUUCCGAAAGGAACGCUAAUACCGCAUACGUCCUACGGGAGAAAGGGGGGGAUCUUCGGACCUCUCGCUAUGAGAUGAGCCCAAGCGGGAUUAGCUAGUUGGUGAGGUAAUGGCUCACCAAGGCGACGAUCCCUAGCUGGUCUGAGAGGAUGAUCAGCCACACUGGAACUGAGACACGGUCCAGACUCCUACGGGAGGCAGCAGUGGGGAAUAUUGGACAAUGGGCGAAAGCCUGAUCCAGCCAUGCCGCGUGUGUGAAGAAGGCCUUCGGGUUGUAAAGCACUUUAAGCGAGGAGGAAGGUUCGUUACUUAAUACGUAACGGAAUUGACGUUACUCGCAGAAUAAGCACCGGCUAACUCUGUGCCAGCAGCCGCGGUAAUACAGAGGGUGCAAGCGUUAAUCGGAAUUACUGGGCGUAAAGCGCGCGUAGGCGGUUGCGUAAGUUGGAGGUGAAAUCCCCGGGCUCAACCUGGGCAUUGCCUUCAAAACUGCGCAGCUAGAGUAUUGGAGAGGAAGGUAGAAUUCCAGGUGUAGCGGUGAAAUGCGUAGAGAUCUGGAGGAAUACCGAUGGCGAAGGCAGCCUUCUGGCCAAAUACUGACGCUGAGGUGCGAAAGCAUGGGGAGCAAACAGGAUUAGAUACCCUGGUAGUCCAUGCCGUAAACGAUGUCAACUAGGUGUUGGGGAACUUGAUUCCUUAGUGCCGCAGCUAACGCAUUAAGUUGACCGCCUGGGGAGUACGGUCGCAAGACUA